RNAcentral lists this ribosomal RNA (496 nucleotides) under uncultured bacterium. RNAcentral's name for it is "partial 16S ribosomal RNA". It matches the Rfam family "Bacterial small subunit ribosomal RNA", at positions 29 to 507 of the family's 1533-position model. The record is from RNAcentral.
AUGAACGCUGGCGGCGUGCCUAAUACAUGCACGUCGAGCGAACAGACGAGGAGCUUGCUCCUCUGACGUUAGCGGCGGACGGGUGAGUAACACGUGGAUAACCUACCUAUAAGACUGGGAUAACUUCGGGAAACCGGAGCUAAUACCGGAUAAUAUAUUGAACCGCAUGGUUCAAUAGUGAAAGACGGUUUUGCUGUCACUUAUAGAUGGAUCCGCGCCGCAUUAGCUAGUUGGUAAGGUAACGGCUUACCAAGGCAACGAUGCGUAGCCGACCUGAGAGGGUGAUCGGCCACACUGGAACUGAGACACGGUCCAGACUCCUACGGGAGGCAGCAGUAGGGAAUCUUCCGCAAUGGGCGAAAGCCUGACGGAGCAACGCCGCGUGAGUGAUGAAGGUCUUCGGUUCGUAAAACUCUGUUAUUAGGGAAGAACAAAUGUGUAAGUAACUAUGCACGUCUUGACGGUACCUAAUCAGAAAGCCACGGCUAACUACGUG